This 57-nucleotide non-coding RNA is filed under the name Spodoptera frugiperda (fall armyworm). Lineage: Eukaryota; Metazoa; Arthropoda; Insecta; Lepidoptera; Noctuidae. The record is from RNAcentral.
UGUUUGCCAUUCUUCGUCUGUGAUACGUGGUGACCUAGGACGAUGAUGAGAUACACU